RNAcentral lists this ribosomal RNA (736 nucleotides) under uncultured bacterium. RNAcentral describes it as "bacterial SSU rRNA". It matches the Rfam family "Bacterial small subunit ribosomal RNA", at positions 8 to 746 of the family's 1533-position model. The record is from RNAcentral.
AGAGUUUGAUCCUGGCUCAGGACGAACGCUGGCGGCGUGCUUAACACAUGCAAGUCGAGCGGUAAGGCCCUUCGGGGCACACGAGCGGCGAACGGGUGAGUAACACGUGAGCAACCUGCCCCUGACUCCGGGAUAAGCGGUGGAAACGCCGUCUAAUACCGGAUACGACCCUCCUCCGCAUGGUGGGGGGUGGAAAGUUUUUUCGGUCGGGGAUGGGCUCGCGGCCUAUCAGCUUGUUGGUGGGGUAACGGCCUACCAAGGCGAUUACGGGUAGCCGGCCUGAGAGGGCGACCGGCCACACUGGGACUGAGACACGGCCCAGACUCCUGCGGGAGGCAGCAGUGGGGAAUAUUGCGCAAUGGGCGAAAGCCUGACGCAGCGACGCCGCGUGGGGGAUGACGGCCUUCGGGUUGUAAACCUCUUUUACCACUCACGCAGGCCCCACGUUUUCGUGGGGGUUGACGGUAGGUGGGGAAUAAGGACCGGCUAACUACGUGCCAGCAGCCGCGGUAAUACGUAGGGUCCGAGCGUUGUCCGGAAUUAUUGGGCGUAAAGAGCUCGUAGGCGGCGUGUCGCGUCUGCUGUGAAAGACCGGGGCUUAACCCCGGUUCUGCAGUGGAUACGGGCAUGCUAGAGGUAGGUAGGGGAGACUGGAAUUCCUGGUGUAGCGGUGAAAUGCGCAGAUAUCAGGAGGAACACCGGUGGCGAAGGCGGGUCUCUGGGCCUUACCUGACGC